This 73-nucleotide transfer RNA is filed under the name Acropora cervicornis. Its description in RNAcentral is "tRNA-Thr". It matches the Rfam family "tRNA". Rfam says of the family: Transfer RNA (tRNA) molecules are approximately 80 nucleotides in length. Their secondary structure includes four short double-helical elements and three loops (D, anti-codon, and T loops). The record is from RNAcentral. Lineage: Eukaryota; Metazoa; Cnidaria; Anthozoa; Scleractinia; Acroporidae.
GGCUUGAUAGCUCAGUCGGUUAGAGCGUCGCAUCGGUACCGCGAGGUCACGGGUUCAAACCCCGUUGGAGUCC